RNAcentral lists this ribosomal RNA (117 nucleotides) under Prolemur simus (greater bamboo lemur). The record is from RNAcentral. Lineage: Eukaryota; Metazoa; Chordata; Mammalia; Primates; Lemuridae.
GCCUAUGGCCAUACCACUCUGAAUGCACCGGAUCUCGUCUGAUCUUGGAAGUUAAGCAGGGUCAGGCCUGGGUUCGUACUUGGAUGGGAGAAUAUGCUAUCUCAGGCACCAAUGGAA